RNAcentral lists this ribosomal RNA (513 nucleotides) under uncultured bacterium. RNAcentral's name for it is "partial 16S ribosomal RNA". It matches the Rfam family "Bacterial small subunit ribosomal RNA", at positions 355 to 861 of the family's 1533-position model. The record is from RNAcentral.
UGGGGAAUUUUGGACAAUGGGGGCAACCCUGAUCCAGCCAUCCCGCGUGUGCGAUGAAGGCCUUCGGGUUGUAAAGCACUUUUGGCAGGGAAGAAACAGCGCGGGCUAAUAACCUGUGCUAAUGACGGUACCUGCAGAAUAAGCACCGGCUAACUACAUGCCAGCAGCCGCGGUAAUACGUAGGGUGCAAACGUUAAUCGGAAUUACUGGGCGUAAAGCGUGCGCAGGCGGUUCGGAAAGAAAGGUGUGAAAUCCCAGGGCUUAACCUUGGAACUGCACUUUUAACUACCGGGCUAGAGUACGUCAGAGGGGGGUAGAAUUCCACGUGUAGCAGUGAAAUGCGUAGAGAUGUGGAGGAAUACCGAUGGCGAAGGCAGCCCCCUGGGAUGAUACUGACGCUCAUGCACGAAAGCGUGGGGAGCAAACAGGAUUAGAUACCCUGGUAGUCCACGCCCUAAACGAUGUCAACUAGCUGUUGGGGUUUAUUAACCUUAGUAGCGCAGCCAACGCGUG